Non-coding RNA from Poecilia reticulata (guppy), 1299 nucleotides. NCBI's taxonomy places the organism in Eukaryota, Metazoa, Chordata, Actinopteri, Cyprinodontiformes, Poeciliidae. The record is from RefSeq and is a predicted model, not a curated record.
UAGAGACUGCAGAAGUUCCUCAUUUGAUCUCCACAACUGAGAGGAAACCUGGUGAUAAUGUUACCUUUUCCUGUCAAUCGCCUGCCGAUCACAGAUUCAGUCAGUGGUAUAAACAGUCUCCUGGAAAGAUGAUCCAAACAAUGGCUACAGGAGUUUAUGGAAAAAUGACAGAAACUAAGACAUUCAAUGAUUCUCGUUUCCAAUUUCGGAGAGGAAACAAUGAGAUGUCUCUUACUAUACAUUCUGUUAAAAAAGAAGAUGAAGCUGUAUACUUCUGCCAAAGUGGAACUGAAUUUUUACUAACUGUUCAUGAUGGAUUCCUCUUGGUUGUAAAGGACUGUGAUCAACACUCUUCUGUCUAUGUGGAACAAACUCCAGACGCUGCGGCGGUCCAGCCAGGAGACACCACCAGUCUCCAGUGUGCCCUUUUUUCAACGAACAGUGAAACAAGACCUCAGUGUCCAGGAGAAAACUUUGUUCACUGGUUCAAAUCUGGAUCUGGAAGCUCUUAUCCAAGUAUCAUUUACGCUGCAAGGAAUAGCACAGACGAUGCAGCGAAGAGAAGCUGUGUCUACCACCUCUCAAAAACAGUAGAGAACUCCUCUGAUUUUGGAACUUACUACUGUGCUGUGGCCAUCUGUGGAGAAAUACUCCUAGGUGGUGGAAGCAAACUGGAAACCAAACAGAACAAGACUCAAGCGUUCUUGUGCUUGGAGGACUGUUGGGGUGCUGCGUGAUUGUGAUCAUCAGCCUUAUCUUCUACAUAACUGGAAGGAGAGUUUCCGACAGUUCUGAAGGAAUAAGAGGAUCACAUCAUGCUGAAGAUGAAACUUCGACUACUUAUCAAACAAAGAACUUGGAUAAAAAAGAGAACAUGACCUACGCAGAGGCACUGAAUUUCCCUGCAGCAAAUGUGAGAAACUGCAAGAAAGUGACCACAGAAUGUACGUAUUCUUCAGUCAAAGCAAAUUCAAAAAAACAGCAGCAGCUCUGAUUAGAGCCGCAGUAUUUGCACCAGACUCCAAAAAACAGGACUAAGAUUAGUCAAACAAAAAAUGUUUGACUCGAUUUCUCUCUGAGUGCAAGAUUUUUCAUGUCUGUUCAUGUCGACUUCCUACUUUCUGGAUACAUUCUUGUAUUUAAGACCUUCAGCUCAUUGAAAACAAAUAAUUUUUGGUAUUAAAAAGUCAUCACUUGGUGUUAAUAAAGUACAGUAUGUCUUUGAAAAAGAAUAGUUUUUCAGUAAAUGUCUGGGAAACUCGUGGUCUUUAAAAAUAAUAAACAUGUCGAAAGUUCUGA